This is a long non-coding RNA of Vitis riparia (riverbank grape), 4329 nucleotides long. RefSeq lists it as uncharacterized. Lineage: Eukaryota; Viridiplantae; Streptophyta; Magnoliopsida; Vitales; Vitaceae. The record is from RefSeq and is a predicted model, not a curated record. The transcript is spliced from 6 exons.
UUUUUCCUUUCUCACGUGUUUCCUCCACUCUUAGUAAAACCAAAUGAAUUUCUCAAGGAAAAAGAAAUUGGCCCUAUCUUCUUCCAGUUAGUCAUGAUGCAGUGAAAAAAUUAAACGCCCAAAGAGAAUCACUAUCUGUGGAUCCAUUCUAUUUUCUCCUCUUCUGAUUUCCUUGUUGCCAUCUUUUCAACCGUGUGGUAAAUGGGACGGUGUGAUGUGUGAGCAAGCGAUGAUUUCAAGGAAAAGUUCAUCAUAUCUCAACUAUUAACCUUCUGAUUUAUUCUUUGAGUGUUGGCUGAGAGUGGGAUCAAAACAUUCCUCAAGCACUUUGGAAGCUCUUUUGAACACGAACUUCAGUAACAUUAAUGGCUCCUUCGUCUGGAGUAUAGGUUAUUUCUUAUGGAUGAAAAUUGUCAAUGGCAUGAGCAAAGUCGGAAAAAGGGAGGGGUAUUUGAAAGAGAGAUAUGAUUGUGGCAUGUUCGCAAUCAAGUACAUGCAACAUUGGAAUGGGGCCAUACUAGCACAUUCAAUUGCGGAGGACAAGAUGCAUUUAUAUUGAUUGAGGCUGGUUGUUACCUUGGUCACGAAUGUGGCAAACAAUGAUAGAGAGGUCAUGAAGGCAUGUCGAAUGUGACGUAUGAGGGUUGUGCCACUUUUGUUAGUUGCAAUUUAUGAACUACUAAAUAUAAAAGAUAAUGUCAAAGAGAAAGGAAAGACAACAUGUCUGUAUAUAAUCACGGUUUGCUUUAUUUGUUUGUUAAUAGUGUUUGCCACUAUGCACCAAUUUAUGCUAACGCAAUAAUGCACACUGGGACAAUAGUGGAAACAUUUGUCAGGAUAAUAUGGUGGGAUUUUUUGAACUUCUAACCAUCCCUUUGUCUUUUAUUCCAUGAUGCUCCAUUAAUUUUAUUGUUCAUGCUUAUUGUCUUUUGUCUUACAAGAAAGGUUGAGCAUAGCCACAAAUUGGCCUAUGUUAAGUGCAUCAGCAAGGCUAAGUGUGAUUAAUAAAGGCCACUUGGAACAGGGAAGGUCAUUGAUGUCACCUUACUUGCCUGAGAGUGGGGCUGGUGGUGGCAGCAAUCCAUAAUCAGAAGGCGACAAUUAGAAAACAUAAUUGUUGACAACCAUGAAGACACCAUGACGAAAAUAGGAGCAAUGUUACACUUCAAAAUCGUGGCUGCUGGAGAAAAGGAUGUGAUCAUACGACAUUCUCAUCAUCACUCAGACUUUAUAAUAUAACUGUUCAUAUUUCGCUUUUUGUUUGUAAAUUUAGGCAUGCCCAAUACCAGAGCUCUCUAAAAACUCUAUAGAUACAUCAUAAUUGGUUUUUUUUGGUUUACCAUUUUUACUUUGGGCACCCAUUGCAUACUUCCGAUAUAUUUGGGUUGUGCCCCCUCUUCUGUUAGGUGGUUUUAGAUUAAUUUAUCAACAACUUAAAAAAAUACAGUGGUAUAUGAAAUAUUGGUUGAGCUAAAGAGGUUACUCCAUGACCUCUUUGCAAGUGUGUAGUUCUAUGAGAGCCAUGCAAUAUGAGAAACUAUUGCCUAGGUUGAAGAACUUGCUUUCUAUUCAGCAUACUAUUUGGCCAAGGUAAUUAUUGCUAUAUGAGAGGUGAAGCUGGAAUUUUUAAGUUUGUUUUAGAAGCCAUCUUUGUCAUCUAUGUUUACGAAUUUUGUUCGGUAUGAUAGAUUUUUCUUUCAACUUCAUUCAUACUGGACCUAUGUUUCUUCCAAUGCAUUACAUGCAGGCUUAUUCUUUAUUUUGCUUGCUGGAAGGAGGUUAACACCCAUUCUAAUAAUAGUUGAUUAUGCUUUUACAUAAUUCAUUGCAGUACGAUGUGUUUGAUAUUGGCUUUAUAACCACGGAUGACUUCACAAAUGUAGACAUAUCGGAAGCAACUUACCCAGCUGUUGCAAAGAGGUUAUAUAAUGAUUGGAUUAAUGGUCCUGCAAUUCCCAUAGUUACUGGUUUGUUUGGAAAGGUUCCUGCUAUGAAGUUUAAUGGUUUCAAUUCCCAGUAACUGGAUUUUAUGCGCACGAGUUGUAGGAAUAUGAUUUAUAUUCUUGUAAUUCCAGGGUUGGAAAUCUGGUGCAGUUACUACCUUGGGUAGGGGUGGGAGUGAUUUGAUAGCCACAUCCAUUGGCGGAGCCUUAGGCUUGCAAGAGAUUCAGGUACGAUCAACCCCUUAGCGCAUGGAAACUGAAAGUCCUGUGGCCAUUGGCAGUCCUUUUUGUAUCUGUACCAUGUUUUGUCUGAAUUGAUUCACAAUGUUCUCUAGUUAUAAUUGAUAAGGAUGAGGCCGACUUUAGUUGUAAAUACUUAAUAUAUUUUUAUGGAGCAAGGGUGCUUCCUACGUUCACCAUAUUGACUUGUGAUCCAAGUAUUUAUUCACGUGCAUUGCCUAUACUAUAUUGUAAUUAUAUUACAACUUUAAGGUUUUUUUUUUUUAUGAGGAGUACGAUUGAUUAUUUAUCUAAUAUUUCAGAUUCAGAAGUGCACUGUUGCUGUGGGGAUAACUAGGUUUCGUUCCCAAUAUACAUGGAAAAUUACCUUUCUACUUGAAUUAGUGUGUAAAUUUGAGCCUUUUCUUUUAUUGUAUUGAUAGUUUAAUCAUACGUGUUAAAUCCCGUAGUUCUCCUGGAUUUUCAAAUUGAUUAAUGGCUCAGUCUGUAUCUUAUUCUGACUUUUCAGUUGAGGAUUUUGAUGUUGGUUUAAGAUGUUUCAUCAAGCUUCUAAUGUGAAUGUACCUCUGGUCGUUCACCUGUUGCUAGGCAAUUUAAUGAUCUAGUAAUGCAUCCGCUUGAACUGUGUAGGACCUAUUAUGUUAUGAGAUUGUGUGGGAAGUUAGCAUUAGGUACCAUGCCUAUUGAAUGUUUUAUCAGUGAAGGAUAUUAUGAUCUUCUUAAUUUGUUGGUUCUUGCUGUAGUUUUGAUAAACAUAAUUGUUGGACCCUGAAUUUUGGAGCCAAACAUUUGACUUGUUCAAUGUGAACAGUAUAUGUGAAGCAGAGAGAACUCUGAUGCUCAAGUCAGUAAUAAUUCAAGGUGAUAGGAAAGUUUUGAUGGAAUAAGGAGUAUAUAUUUUGAUGGAAAGUUUUGAUGGAAUAAGGACUUAUAUUAUAAGUCAAUAUAUAAAUAUCCAGUAUCUACUAGCGACAUUACAUGCAUGGAUAGUAGAGUGACGCAAACAGCACAAAUUAACACACGCACAUGAAAGUUCAGAUUUUCCUAACCUGGCAAAAUUGAAGUUUAGUACAGAGUUUUAAGGUGUGGAUAAUAAGAUUAUGAGCUUAAUUUAUAGAAAUGUUGGUGUAUCUAUUAAGUACUGGCUCCUAUAUGUCAUGAACCUAUCAAGCAUAUGAUCAUAUCUUCCCCCAUCAAGCAUAUGACCAUAUGGAAGCAUGGUCACAUUCAUCAUAUCAUGUCUAUAUCCUAUCCUCAUCAAGCAUGAAUAUUUUCAUGCUUAUGUCCCUCUUUGGUUUCUGGUUGAUUGCUAAUGCGAAAUGAGCCAGAUUGUGAUGCUACACCAAUUUAGCACCAGCUUGAAUAUGAGUCUACACCAGUUUAGAUCCAGCCUGCUGGUGAAUCUCUACUUGCUUAUGCCACAUAUGAACAACCCUGCCUUGGGGACAUUACAGAACUAUUCUGCAUGCUGUCAUGUAGGAUAAUGGUACAAACCUGGUAUGCACUUAUCAGUGGAGAGCAUAGCAUUUAAUUUCAUCUUUGAGGAUUGAGAGAUUUCGAAGUAUCAGUCAUGAUGGUACCGAUCUUGUCUUGAAAUUCAUGCUCUGUAAAUGGGAAAACUUGCACUUCAAAAUUUUGGCAGGCAGAAAAGGCAGAUCGUGAGGCUCACAGCCAAGGUGGAACACCCCAAGAGCAUAGUGCUUCCUGUAGGCCUGAAAUGGCCCCGUCCUAGUCCAGUACCCGAGAGUGGCUGUGUCCUUAUAGCCACAAAGAAGCUUGAUGGGGUAUGCUCCUUUGAAAGAACUGUUCUCCUUCUCAGAUCUGGAACCGGACACCCACAGGAGGGGCCAUUUGCAGUUGUCAUUAACCGGGCUCUUCACAAAAAGAUCAGACACAUGAAGCCCAUUAAUCUGGAGCUGGCAACCACUUAUGCUGAAUGUUCCUUGCAUUUUGGUGGUCCUCUAGAGGCAAGCAUGUUUUUACUUAAAACAGGGGUUUUGACUUGCGAUCCAAGUAUUUAUCCACGUGCAUUGCAUGUGCAAUAUUGUAAUUAUAUUACGAGGUUAUUUUCUCUUUUGAUGAGGUGUACGAUUGAUUAUUUAGCUGAUAUUUAAGAUUCAGAAGUGGACUGUUGAUGUGGUGAUAA